GGAAUAUUCCUGCAUUUCAAUGUUUCAUCUUUGAGUUACUUACAAUAUGCUAAUGACAAUAAUGUCAUGGAAGGCUUCAUUAGAUAUUUGAACUUUGAAGUAUUAUUUUGAUUAAAAAUAGCUUCAUGACAUUAAAGUUAUCAUAGGCAAUGUCCACAAAACUUACUAAUUGAGUGGUCAUUGUUGUUCGUUUUAUUAAAAUACCCUUAAUAAUAAUAAUAACUUCAGGAAUAGGUAACUUAUGUUUUAUUAAAUGUCAGAACGAUGUUGGAAUAUGUGGAUACCUGGGUUUGGUUCUGAUGAACUUCGUCCCUACAAGAAAGCAGCAACUACUGAAGCACAUAAACAGAGGAUGGCAUUGAUACGAAAAUCACUCAAGAAAUAACAACAAACUAUCACUUUUGUAAACUCAUUAAGAUUUUUUUGACUGCAGUAGAGAACUGUGUAUUUACUCAUUUUGAAAAAAUCUCACUUCCAAGGCAAGGGUCAGUUACUUAUUUCAAGAUGGGAGAGCCUACGUAGCACUCAGUUGAUGUAAUAUAUUCCUAAAGAUAUAAUACAAAACACAUAAUACAACAGAACGAGAAACAGUGGAAUACAAUACAUUUUAUGAAUACAUUACAUCAACUGCGUGCUACGUAGGUCCCCCCAUUUCAAGAUAGAGAUAGGAACUGUAUUAAUGGAGAGAUUAUUUGUAUAUUUGUUGUGGAUUCCUGAGUUCAGACUAAACUCUAUUAAUGUGAAAUUGGGGAAGAGACCAAAUAAACAAACAAACAAACAAACAAAAAUAAGAUAAAAAGAAAUAAAAUAAAACAGCAACAGAAAAAAGGAAAAAAAAAUAGAAAAAAGAAUUACAUUGGAAUUUGUAAUCAGAGAUGUGUAGUAGCUUUUGAAAUUAUUGCAGGCUCACAUUAGCAUUCUGAAGUUUGCUUAAUAUAUYCACUGAGGUAUUGCUUGGACAUACUACUCAUAAAUAUCUAUUUUGUACACUCACAUUUUCAUGAAUAUUGUGACAUGAUAUUCCGUAGUGGAGAGAAAUAAUUUGAUAUAAUUACAUUACUAAAAUAUAAAGACUAAGUCACAGUUUUGUUUGUUGCAAUCGUUUUGCAUAUGAUAUUUAUUUUAUAUAUUUGCUUGCUCCUCAUACCUGGAACAAGACUGUAAAUAUUGUGAGCCUAUGAUGUACUUUUUGUGCUGUUCAAAUAUUAAACUGUUGUGAUUAUGUAUGUGUAGUUGAUAACAGUUAAUCUGAACUUGUACCCAGUGGUAUUUGCAAUGUGCAGUGCAUUUAGGGAAGGGUGAAGGAAAAUAAAGUUACUAACAUCAA
Exaiptasia diaphana is the source of this 1327-nucleotide RNA transcript. RefSeq lists it as uncharacterized. The transcript has 2 exons. Lineage: Eukaryota; Metazoa; Cnidaria; Anthozoa; Actiniaria; Aiptasiidae. The record is from RefSeq and is a predicted model, not a curated record.